This 723-nucleotide long non-coding RNA is filed under the name Capra hircus (goat). Its description in RNAcentral is "lncRNA (ENSCHIG00000004087.1)". The record is from RNAcentral. Lineage: Eukaryota; Metazoa; Chordata; Mammalia; Artiodactyla; Bovidae.
ACUCUUCUUCUACUUCAUUUUUUAGUUCUUUUAUAGCAUUUACUGUAAGGAUAAGCCCAACAUGAUUUAUCCAAGCCUCUAUUGUUAACCAUAUAAACAUUUCAGAUUUUUCAAUUAUAAACAUCACAGUGAUGACAUCCUUAAAUUUGAACCCAUCCACACAUAUUUUCUUAGAAUACACUGUUAGAAGUAGAAUUGCCAUUUGUGUUUUUUUACAAUAGAGAAAUUAUUAAAGUUAUUUUGAAAAAAGAGUUUGCAAUAAAGAUUUAAGGAAUGAAAAAUGAAAUCAUGACCUUCUUUGUUUCUAUAGAGGAGUCAAAUGAAGUUGUUCCAAAUGAGGCAAGGGCUCAUAAGGAAGAGAACCACCAUGCAGUAUCUGCAGAUAAUGUGAAAAUAGAAAUUAUUGAUGAUGAAGAAAGUGAUAUGAUAAGUAAUUCUGAAGUAGAGCAAGUGAAUUCUUUCUUGGAUUAUAAGAAUGAAGAAGUCAGAUUCAUUGAAAAUGAGUUAGAGAUUCAGAAGCAAAAAAAUUUUAAACUUCAGACAUUUGUAAGAAGCUUGAUACUAGCCAUAAAAGCUGACAAUAAGGAACAACAACAGGCAUUGCUGUCAGAUUUACCUCCUGAAUUAGAAGAGAUGGAUUUCAAUCAUGCCUCGCCGGAGCCUGAUGAUACCUCAUUCAGUCUGUCUUCUUUAUCAGAGAAAAAUGCCUCAGACAGUUUGUGA